CGCAAUCGCCUCCUUCYCUGGAGGGGCUGUGUUUAUUAGAUACAAAACCAACCCAGUCCUGGUGAUUCAUAGUAACCGAACGGAUCGCAKUUGGCCCGCGAURGAUCUUUCAAGUUUCUGACCUAUCAGCUUUCGACGGUAGGGUAUUGGCCUACCGUGGCAGUGACGGGUAACGGGGAAUUAGGGUUCGAUUCCGGAGAGGGAGCCUGAGAAACGGCUACCACAUCUAAGGAAGGCAGCAGGCGCGCAAAUUACCCAAUGAAAACAGUUUCGAGGUAGUGACGAGAAAUAACAAUACAGGGCAUUUUAUGCUCUGUAAUUGGAAUGAUGGGAAUGUAAAACCCUUUCAGAGUAACAAUUGGAGGGCAAGUCUGGUGCCAGCAGCCGCGGUAAUUCCAGCUCCAAUAGUGUAUAUUAGAGUUGUUGCAGUUAAAAAGCUCGUAGUUGGAUUUCUGUCGUGGUCAUCUGGCUCUGCCCGUAGUCUGGGCCUGCAUGSCCUCSGCUUUCUCCCAGUGCGCGCUUCACUGCGUGUGKUUCUGGRGCUUUUACUUUGAGAAAAAUAGAGUGUUUCAAGCAGGCUUGUCGCCCUGAAUACUUCAGCAUGGAAGAUAGGACCUCGGUUCUAUUUUGUUGGUUUCUAGGACCAAGGUAAUGAUUAAUAGGGACAGUUGGGGGCAUUCGUAUUUAACUGUCAGAGGUGAAAUUCUUAGAUUUGUUAAAGACGAACUACUGCGAAAGCAUUUGCCAAGGAUGUUUUCAUUAAUCAAGAACGACAGUA
Molecule: ribosomal RNA, 778 nt
Filed under: Isospora sp.
Lineage: Eukaryota; Apicomplexa; Conoidasida; Eucoccidiorida; Eimeriidae
Description: SSU rRNA
Source: RNAcentral